RNAcentral lists this ribosomal RNA (254 nucleotides) under uncultured bacterium. Its description in RNAcentral is "partial 16S ribosomal RNA". It matches the Rfam family "Bacterial small subunit ribosomal RNA", at positions 524 to 776 of the family's 1533-position model. The record is from RNAcentral.
UACAGAGGUCUCAAGCGUUGUUCGGAUUCAUUGGGCGUAAAGGGCGCGUAGGCGGCCACCGCAAGUCAGUUGUGAAAUCUCUGGGCUUAACCCAGAAAGGUCAACUGAUACUGCGGGGCUAGAGUGCAGAAGGGGCAACUGGAAUUCUCGGUGUAGCGGUGAAAUGCGUAGAUAUCGAGAGGAACACCUGCGGCGAAGGCGGGUUGCUGGGCUGACACUGACGCUGAUGCGCGAAAGCUAGGGGAGCGAACGGG